This 2544-nucleotide long non-coding RNA is filed under the name Equus asinus (donkey). RNAcentral describes it as "lncRNA (ENSEASG00005023198.2)". The record is from RNAcentral. Lineage: Eukaryota; Metazoa; Chordata; Mammalia; Perissodactyla; Equidae.
CUUCCCGCCAGGCCACGCCCACCGCGGUGCCCGCCCCGGACGCGUGCGCAGAGCGCGCUUUCCCUCCCGCGGGAUGUGGACUCUCGGUCGGGCUUCCGGGUCCUCUCCUGGCUCUUCCGCGGUCGUUGUGUGGGCCGCGCCGGGCGCUGCGCCUCGUUAGGCUCCGGGUUCCUCCUCCGGGCAGUGGGACCACACGGCGCGUCCCCGGGGCUUCCGACGGGCUGGCUGCCCUGCCCGCCGUCUGUCCGGCCAGCCCCGCACGCGCGCUCGGGCUUCCUAGUGCGCAGCUGGAGCCACGCGGGUGCGCGCCGCCCCUUGGCCGGUGCAGGCUCUGGUCAGCCUCACCCCCUGGGACGACACUCAGAGCGGGGUCAGCUGGCGGGGCCUGAGUCUCCGCUUCCCAUCUGUGAAGGGGGCUGUCCCCACAAUGCCACGGGGGAGAGGUGGCUUAGAGAGGAUUCCGCGAUGGCCCAGGUCCACCAGCAGUCAUGUGGAUUCGAGAUCUGGCUGGACAUGCUGAUUCCGGCGGCCAGUGCGCCUGUCCUCUGCCCUGCCCCGCUGGUGGCACUUGUCUCAGCUGGUUGCUGCAAGGCAGGCAUGAAGCUCGGCUCGAAGCCACUUAACACAGCAGCAGAUCCUGGAAUGUGUAUCUGGGGAUCAGACUCGACACAGGGAGGUAGGUUGAAUGAUUUGGGCAAGAGGAAACCGCCUUCUCCAUGUCUUUCUUUCUUGAAACCUCCUGGAGCUGCCCCCUUCUCUGCUCCACCGGCAUGUGCGGAACAAACCCCACCUGUGGGUUCCAUGCUCGGCGUCAGGAGGGAGCUGAACGCUGUGCUCACCUGCCAGGACUUUGCCUAAUACCCACUUUGGCUCAUGUCCCUCUUUUUAUGCAGAUGUGAGCACAGCUGGAGCCAGACUUCGGCAGGAUUAAGGAAUCUGGAACAAAGAGGAGCCUGGGCUUCCGAAAGGGCGUGCCGGUCACCACUGUGACUGCGCUGUCCACCUCUUGGUUUUGGUGAACCAGACAACAGGCUUCAGAGCGAUACCCAACCCUUGGUUGUGUUGGUGAUCUUUCAUGGGUGACUGGGCCACCCAGGGGGUUCUUUAGGAUUAGUGGUUCCAAAAUAAGAUGAGGAUAAAAGGUUAGAAAGUGAAAUGAGAGACGAUGCGUGUGGGCACAUUGCGUGUCCGUCUGGAGGAUCAUGAGGGUCUAGGCAGGAAACCUCUGUAGCCAGUGAGCAGAGAGCUGCUGAGGACAAGUUUCUCUGUUGGGGCAGUUUCUUCCUGCCUUGAUUAUAAAGGCAGGAGGUGUAGAUUAUCCAGAGAUGAAAACACGGCUGGCUAGGAAGCAGGUGGUCACCCAGGGGUCACUUAGCAGUGGUUUAUUGAGCACCUGCUGCAUGCCUGGCACAGGGGGUUGGAGAGGGACUGGACAUGGUGCCUCUCCUGAGGGAGCACGUAGUCUGGGGAUCAGACUCACAUAGAAGGAGGCGGGAGAUCUUAUGGUGCAGAAGGAGCUGAGGAAAAGAGGAGCCUCUCUGGGGGUGAGGACAGCCCCUGGCCCAACAGGACUUCGGAGAGAGGCCUCAGUGAGAUGGCAGGCUGACUCUGAGCCCCCUGCUCCCGAUCUCAGUGCACAAAGGUCCCUGACUCUGGGUGUGGCUCAGACAUCCAGAACAUCCCCACUUGGGGACCUCGAAGGCCUGGACACUUGCUGGCAGCAGCUGGCUAAGACAGAGGGCUUCCCCUGGACAUUCUGGGCCACCUAGACCUCCAGAAGCCCUGGGGGGGUGAGGGAUGGGCAGCCCCCCACCCUUAAAAAAGACAUUAUUUCCUCUUCAUCUGACGGUGGGGGCUCAGGGCCAGAUGGAACCUGCAUGGAGCUAGUAAAGUGAUGAGUGUCACCCCACGCUCCCUCUGCCCCGUGCAUGAGUGCGAGGUGCUGUGAGGGUGGCAGACCUGGUGGUUUCCCUGCCCUGUGUGUGUGAAACAAGGGAGGGGCCCCAUGAGUGCCCCCUGUGGGGCUUCGGACAGGCCGAGUGAGAAAGUGGAGGCUUGUGGAGAGAGGCGAAGUGACAUUAGGUCUGUGGUGGGGAAGGGGGGAGGGUGUGUGCGUGUGUGCGUGUGCACACGUGUGGUGAGAAGGAAGUCUCAAGAAAGUAAGCCCUGGGAGAGAGAGAGAAGGAUCAAUGGAUAAGGAGCAACAAGUGUAUUAAAAAAACUUUGAAAUCUAUCAUCUAUCUAUCUAUCUAUCUGUGUAUCUAUCACCGAUCUCUAUCGCUCUGUCUGUCUGUCCAUCUGUCCAUCAGGCCAUCCAUCCAUCUGUCCGUCCAUCCGUCCAUCAUGGAAGGUAUGACACACGUAACAGUGGCCCCCUGGGGUGGGACCACGGGGCAGUGGUGCAAUGAGACCUUUCCCUGUGUGCCCUUUUGUACACCGGGGUUUUUGAAUCACAUGACUGUUACCUAUUCAAAAAAUUAAGUGAAAAAAUCUAAUGUGCGAUAUAUUAUUUGCAAUUGUUAAGAAACAAUAAAUCUGUCUAUU